GCUCUUGGUUUCCAGCUUAAAACCUGCAAUACAGAAUAAGAAGACCAACACCACAAUAGGAAUAACAUCACUAGGUCCACACAAAAGCAUCCCAUUCACUCCAUCCUUUAACAGCAGAAAUCAAUUCAUUAUAAGACUGAGACUAUCAUUAAAACUUUGAAAAAUAAAUUCCCAUUUUAUUCGCUUAUUUCAAAAUCUCCCAAAUGAGCCAAUAAUUUGGAAGUUU
Molecule: unclassified non-coding RNA, 226 nt
Filed under: Hevea brasiliensis (rubber tree)
Lineage: Eukaryota; Viridiplantae; Streptophyta; Magnoliopsida; Malpighiales; Euphorbiaceae
Source: RNAcentral